GGCAGGACUUUUAACCUUGAUAAUCAUCUUUAAAAAAAAAUAAUGAUAUAAUUCUUACAGGCCCUGAAAUUCUUAGAGGUCAUAUAUUCUUCGGUUUAAAUUGGUUGAAUUAUUGGAUAUUCUGUAAAUAAUUCUUUGGUAUGCUUGUGGAUGACCAUCCUUUUACUUGAGCUUUGUUCAAGAACAGUAGAUAGGCAGGUAGUCAGAGCUGAGAACCUCAAACCUAAUACCAGAUUGACCUGCUAUGAAUUAGGCAUGGCAUCUUGGGGUGUUUCUCAAAUUUAACCAAGUUAAUUUUCUAUUUCUUAAAGUUUGAUAUAAACUUUAUGGCCCUUAGUUAUAAGAUAUAUGAAAUUAACGCAUUCGAAAACAGAAUUUAAACAUUAAUGGGCUGGAUGCUACUGUUUUCUAGAAGUAAACAUAGUACUGGCUGCUGUUCAAUAAAUGUUAUACACAUAUGGGCUUGUGAUUGUGAAGUUUUACAAUCUGGACAACAGUACAGUUAUCCAGAACUUUAAUCUUUUGCAGUCCUUAAGACUAUUGAAAUGAGGGGAGGGGCUCUAAAUUCUCCAUAAAUUUAAACACUCUAAAAGGGUGUUUUUGGACUGUCUGCAAAUCCUUCUGUGAAGAAUUCUAUAUAACAUUAUCUCCAAACAUUCUUUCAGUGAGUAUUUCAGAGUCUUAGAAUUAACAUUCUUUUCAGAAAAACUUCAGUUUUAUUUGAUCUAGAACUUGGUUGGCCAGUAGUUAACUAAAUUGGGUUAAAAGUUGACUAUUUUGUGAAUUUCCAACA
Molecule: long non-coding RNA, 793 nt
Filed under: Bos taurus (domestic cattle)
Lineage: Eukaryota; Metazoa; Chordata; Mammalia; Artiodactyla; Bovidae
Description: long non-coding RNA NONBTAT022658
Source: RNAcentral